Molecule: ribosomal RNA, 467 nt
Filed under: uncultured bacterium
Lineage: Bacteria
Description: partial 16S ribosomal RNA
Rfam family: Bacterial small subunit ribosomal RNA
Source: RNAcentral
GACGAACGCUGGCGGCGUGCUUAACACAUGCAAGUCGAACGGAAAGGCCCUGCUUUUGUGGGGUGCUCGAGUGGCGAACGGGGGAGUAACACGUGAGUAACCUGCCCUUGACUUUGGGAUAUAUUCAGGAAACUGGGGCUAAUACCGGAUAGGAGCUCCUGCUGCAUGGUGGUGGUUGGAAAGUUGCGGCGGUUGGGGAUGGACUCGCGGCUUAUCAGCUUGUUGGUGGGGUAGUGGCUUACCAAGGCUUUGACGGGUAGCCGGCCUGGGAGGGUGACCGGCCACAUUGGCCCAGGGGUGCGGCCCAGACGCCAACGGGCGGCAGGGGUGGGGAAUAUUGCACACAGGGCGGAGGCCGGAUGGAGCAACGCCGCGUGCGGGAUGACGGCCUUCGGGUAGUAACCAGCUUUCGCCUGAGACGACGCGUGAGUGACGGAAAUGGGUAAAGAAGCACGGCCUACCUACGG